Molecule: long non-coding RNA, 7826 nt
Organism: Suricata suricatta (meerkat)
Lineage: Eukaryota; Metazoa; Chordata; Mammalia; Carnivora; Herpestidae
Exons: 2
Source: RefSeq, a predicted model, not a curated record
UUGGCCCAUGUCCAGUGCAAGAUGGUAGAACCAGGCCUUAAGCUCUGAAUUUGUUGCUUUCUGAUAUGAUAGAGUUGAAAAAGUAGGGCUUCCCCAUAGAGGGGAAGGUAGGUCAGAGAACGCCUACAGACAGACUCCCCUACAUACUGAGUGUGAGCCCACUCUUUAGGAGGAAAGUCGAGGCACAGCCUGGACUGCGUGUCUUCUGGGCCGUGUGCCUUUAUUCGGAUAGACCCAGAGCCUCUCUGAAGGGAGAGAGAGGUGCUCGUCUGUAUUUAUAGCACACUUAGUUCGUGAUGGUUUCGGCUCACCCUGGGCACGUUCCCUGAGGGGCUGGGUUGGGACAGGGCAGCAGCACGCAGAUGUCUGUCCGUUUGUAUUCCCCGGAUGCAGGCUUGGCUCCGAGAGAAGUCCUGUUGUGGGGAAGCCACAGAGGAGUUGUUUUGCAGGACGAGGCCUCUGAUAACUUUUGUGUGAAGAUGCGUCAUUAUCACACCCAGAUCCUUCUGUUCUCCUGGAGGCUGGGAAGGAGGGUGGCGGGACCUGCAGCUGGGAGGCCAUCUAGGCCAGACUCCAGGGAGAGCUGUGGCGGCCCCUUUGCCGAGGGCUCCCGAAGACACACAGAGCCUCUUUAUCUCAGAAGAGGGACUGGAUGUCCCUGUCAAGGUCCCUCGGGUCCUGAGUGUGUGGGACUGUGAGACUGUCCUCGGAACAGCAUGAGCGUCAGGUACCAGGUUCUCGAGCAGGCUGCCUCUUUUCUUUCUGCCAGGGAAAUGAGGCCAACCCGGGUGGGGGGCACCUGAGCAUCGGGCCUGGAGCUCUAACCUUGUGCCCCCAUGCAGAGAGAACUCCCAGAACUGACCCUGCAGGACUGAUAUUGUUUGCAGAGAAAACAAGGGGAAAGCCAUGCUGUCCCUCCUUGCUGCCAGGAAAGAGCUCUGAGCGGCUCUCCUCCUGUAUUUGUACCACUGCCACUGCCCACCCUUGCCGACCCCCCAGCCCUCGGCCCGUUGAUAGGCACUGGGCAUGGGAAGGAAAAUUCGGUGGGUGAGCCAGGAGCCAGGGCCAGACACGGUUUACUGGGAAGAAGGUAGGACACGGAAGGGGAGUAUCUCAGGGCAGGCCCCACAGGCACACGUGUGUUCAGAUGGACAUACUAUUUCCUGGUAUUUUUGGUAACCCCAAAGCCUGACAUCAACCAGUCAAUGCCUAAAUGAGGGCUGAUUUCGCGUGGAGAAUCCUACCUACUUUUGUGUUACAUCUGCAGCUUUGCAUCAAAAGGCCUGACGGACUGGGGACCUUUGGCUGGGCCCUCCUUGUCUGUAAGAUCAUGCUUAUUUUAUAUUGAUUUUCUGUCCCCUUUCUCUCCUGCUUGCCACUCUCACGCAUUCCUUAGGUAUCCAUGAAUAUUUGCCCACGCAUCCAUGUUACUGUUUCCUCAGGGGAGACCGUUCUUCCGGUGUCUUGGACAUCGCUGAACUUAUUACUUUUAUUUCAAACAUGAGCAGCCAGAGGCUGAGGAGUGCCAUCCUUGAACUGUCCAUGGAGGCCCCUUCUGUACCUCGUUCUGGAGUGGGGUGUGCAGAGCCCUGAGGAGACGGGAACCCAGAGGGUCUGCGGGAAGCUGCUUGGCCCCAUGUUGUGCCCCCUGUUUGGGGAGGGGGCUGCUGAGGCAUGAAUCCCCCACCCCUGACUAUUAGCUGACCCUGAGUAGUGUGGCCUUGGAAGUCCGAGAGCACGUGUCCCCCUGCUUAGGGGAAGACGACAGAGAGGGACAGGGACAGAGAGGAAGGGAACACGCGCUCCUGGCCACUGGCCUCUCUCCAAGACAGGUGAACUCUGUGUUCAAAAAGGAACUCAUUUAAUCUUUUGGCCCUAAUGAAAGUUGUUUGUAUUUUCUCUCCCUCUCUCUUCACCCUCCUCUUUCUCCCUCAACACCCCCGCCUCCACCCUCCAGCCUCCAAAAGAAUUUAAUCUGCUGGACAACAAACAAUACUGUUAUAAAACUUUGAAAACAAGAGGGUGAGGCCUCCCUGACAAGGAGAAGGGCAUGCCGGGUAACAGCCGAGGGAGCCUGCCAGGCCCGAGAUGCAGCCGGGCGAGGGCCCAGUUGGCUGGAUACCUGGGCGCCUGCCCCUACCCGGCCCACCAGCCGAGCCAUCCCCAGUCCAGAGGGGGAAGGAACCGAAACAAAAGCAGGGGCAGAGAAGCGCCUGGAAAGGGGAAGUCAAGUUUUACGUGUUCCCCUCUCUCUGAUCUGAUGUAAGGGCGCUAGACUGUGAAACUUCCUCCCGCCCCUCCCCCCCAGCCUCUCUCCCUCCCUCCUCACCUUACCUCCUCCUGCCUCCUCCCACCACUCUCUGUUCCAGGCCCAAGGCCUGAUAACAGAACAAGGCUGGCCUAGGUACAGCCACUGGCCGCCCGGCUGCAGGGCGAGCCAGCAAGGAAGGUGUUCCAAGUUGGCUUUGGACUCUGGACGUACCCUCUGCGUCCCCUCCCUGCCCCCAGCUAGAGAAGUGGAACCAUGUUCCGGGGUGUGCCCCAGUCCGUGUGCUCCGCCCAGGGCUGUGCCCAGGCACUGGGAGAACCUCCGCUUGGAGGUUAGUGGGUCUCCCUCUCAGUGUCCCGCCGUCGGCUGGAGGCCACGCUCCAGGGAGGCUGUCUGACUGCACAGGUGGCCUGCUCUCCCUCCAGAAGGAGAGGGGGCUGAGCCCCGGAGCCCCAGAGCCCCGAGGGGCUGGGGGGACAGAGACUUGCUCCCUGCAGCGAGUAGACACAGGGUCCUGGGAGCAGGUUGAUGGUGGGGUCCUGUGUCUGUUCUUGGGGUGACCCAGCCCCGCCUGGGGAGCAGGGAACCUGGGCCUUGGGGCAUCACCCUCCAGCCUCCUGAGUUAGAUGUCACCUGAGACCGAAGUUCCACUGGCACUUUACGUGUGCCUUGGCUGCGUUGAGCACAUGAUUUGGGAAAGGAGAGGGAGAAGCAGUGGUGGGCUGCCUUUGGCUGGACGUGAUUUGGACCCGUGAACUGUGCGGUGGGCAUGGUGUUUGUGUCGUGGACUAUAGGCCUGCUCACUCUCCUCCUGUGGGAGGCAUUUCAGGGCAGUGCCCCUCCUCCUGCUCUGCCUCAGCUGAGCCACUCUCUGGGGACGCAGGGGGCCCCUCUUCAUCCCAUCGCUCCUCCUCUGUGCCCCCCACUGCCCUCCACGGCCCCCCACACCCCGCAGCAUGCCAAGGCGUCUCAGUCUCGCCCGGCCAGGCGUUCCAACCCUGGGCCUGUACUGAACCUGGAAGAUUCCCAGAUGCGGGUCUCCGUUGGUGUUGAGGACGGGGCAGAGAACCGAACCUGGUGGAAAGCGGCUGCCUGGGAACUUAGCUGUGGUACCCCUGCCCCAGGGAAAACCGGAAUUGCUGAUGGGGCGCCCAGGUGAUGUAAGAAGGCCGUGACCUCUUGCCCUGUCAUCUCCACAGGCAUUUGAGGGGUUCAGUGGGUCCAGAGCACAUUGUUCCCGCUUCAGGAUGCAGGGUCUGGGACCCUAGUGAUCCCGUGAUGCCCAGCCCUUUUUUGGGGGGCCAACCUGCUGGGAAACAGGAAAAGAGCCAGCUCCGUGUUUCCCUCCUCCCUCGCCCCCCAUGCACAUACCCAUACACAUUUUAUCACCCUUUCCUCUGAUUCAUUAACCACAGCUAGUUGGCAACAGGCCCCCACCCUGACAGCUCAAGACAAAAUGUCCAGGACACUGGGUCUGGCUGGGAGCCGAGUGACAGGAAGCUGGGCCGGGCCUCUGGGCUCACAUGUACAAUGGGCAAGGACUGUCUGGAGCGCAGAACUGUCCCCAGUUUCAAAAGGGUCUUCCCCAGGCCACUCUCUCACCAAGAUGACUCGUCGUCACUUCAGGGGCCUGGAAACCAGCAUUCCGGGGAGCAGGAAGACCUGAUCUGGGCUCUGCUUCCGGCACCCCUCCCCCGCACCCACUGGAGCUUGCAUCAGUCUAUAAAACACGGCCUCUCCACGUCACUGUACUCCCGCUGCAUGUGGUCUCUGCUUCUCUGUCCUAAGUUUCCCGUCCCAGCCCCUCGAACGUUUGAAUGCAUGAACCCUCCCUCUUUUUGGAAGAACUGAGACCCAUUUGAGGGAAGUGCAGGCUGAGCAGGAAUUAAAGCCCCUGUGCUCUGAGUCACUGUGUGGUGACCUUUCCUUCACGCUCAGUCCCUGCCCAGGCAGAGGAGUGUCUAGGCUUGAGGGGGUGGAAAAACCUCCAAAUAGAACGUCUGCGCAGAAGUGGACGGAGGCUGCACUGUGCUUCCCAACCUUCUUCCUGCACGGUGGCACACCCGGCCCUGUGGCUGGGCCGUUUUCCUUCCCCAAGAGCGCACCUAGCUCUUCCCACGGGGCCGUGUGCCUAGGACUGUGGGGCCAGGCUGGGAGCAUCACACCGUCUGCUUUUGACUGCAGAGCCCUAGCAGGCUGGGCUUCCACGGGGCUGCCUUCUUACGGCUCUCGGUGGCCUUCGAGCUGGGUGCCAGGGAGAGCAGGCCCCUUGCAGCCCCCGGUCAGACCAUCCAGCUCCAUCCGACAAGGGACCGGAAACACCAGCUAGCUGCAGGUAAGUGCAUCCUUGCUCAGCGGACUUUGCGAGAAAAGCCUGGGUCCCCUGGGAGGGCUGAGACCCAAACAGACUUCCGUCCAGUGGGGUCGGAAGGGCAAAAGGUGUUGGUACUAGGAUUACUCGCCCCCCCUUUUCUUGUCUUGUUUAUGCUCAUGGGUUGUGAAUGAUUUCUCUCUUCCUCCAGAGAACUGAGUGUUGUCGAACUCAGUCUGGGGGCCCAGACCCUAGCUCAUGGCCCUCAGUUCCCUCCUCAAUUGCUCCUCUGCCAUGUGCCGCUUCCCCUCUGAAUUCAGGGCUGGUGCUUCCUGGGUAGCAGGAGAGCCAGUAAUUAAUCCUGAUGACCACGUGAUGGAUGUGAAGGACAAGAACUCGGUGCUGUGAGAGGGCGUAACUGACACCUAGCUCAUCUGGGGAAAGCUUCAGGCGACCCGCGUUACCUGGGAGAGGGUUGAUGGGGUGGCAGCCCUGGAGAGCAGAAGACAGAGAAUGUUCCAGAAAGAGGGAACGGGGUACCCAGAGGCCUGCUGGCGGAGGAAGGAGGCUGUCUGGAUCACUGACAGACGCCUGUGUGAUGAUACCUUGGGGAAGGUUUUGUGGAUACAGGCAGUCAGGAGUUGCUAAGGGGGAAGGUUUCAGCUGGAGUAAAAUCGAGAAGUACUAAAGGUAGAUCGCCACUCCCUCAUUGUGUAGCACGCCACAGAAAUGACUGCCAUUGACCACGUACUUCCUGACCUUAAAACCCUGGAAGUUACCUGCUUCACAGGGCCCAGCUGUUGACCGCAGGUGCCCUGGGUCAGAGCCGCUGCCCAUCUCCUCCGUCGGGGGCCAAGGCCUCGCCAGGCCCCUGGGCUGAGAGCCCAGUGCCGGGGUCAGAAUCCGGAAUCCAGCACAGGCAUUGCUGGUGGUUCGUCUCCAGCGCCUCCCCCCACCCCAGCCAUGCUGUGGGUGAGCGCAGGGGCUCCAGAGGCGCAGGAGGACUGGGCGAGCCAGCUUGGGGCAUCCGGCCCCUCACAGGACCAGCUGGGCUCCCAUUUCCACCCGGGCUAAACGUGCUGUGCGGUCAGUCACAUCCACAGCCACACAAACACCUUGCUAGGACUCCCCUCAUUCCCCCCCACUCCCGCCCAGUCUUGCUCACAAUUGAGUUCAAGAACAUGAGAUGACAGCGCAGCUGUGGAGCAGGCACAAUGGACAGAGGGACAGGAACACAGACUCGAGUUAGACUCAGGUCUGUACCGUGUAGUGGUCACGUGACGGUGGGCCAGUUACUGGACUGCAUUAAGGAGCCGUUCCUCCUGCAAGCUCGGGACUGAUACUCGCUUCACAAGACCGACCCAUUUAAAGCUCCCACCUCAGUGUUUGAAUUUUAUUUCCUUCUCUUUCCUGGAGUAGCACAUGCUGUUAUUCCAGGAGCCACAAUAAAUACAGCCUGGAUCUGGAAGCCUUCAGAGCUGGUAGACAGCCCGAAAGAUCCAGAUUCUACGGUCUCCUCUUUCCUUGGUUGUGGUAUCCCAGGAAAUAUAGACCUGUUUUCUCAGCUUCCAACGACCAAAAAAAACCAACACACAUUUAGGAGAUGGGAAAUCUAAUUUGAACACAGGAUGCAAAUCUUAUUUUCAGACCAGUUUUGAAAACAACACAAAACUCAGUCAUUGUGUUAGAGGAUUAUCUACUUAACACAACGUCAGGACACCAUAUUUUUGGUGUGAAUCACAGCAGAGGUUAAAUAAAGAUGGUUGACGUGCUGACCCUGACGUGAGGCUGGGAAGGUGGAGCCCAGGCUCUUUGUGAAUAGGGCACAUCAACAGUGGCCCCAGGGCAGGUGAAACUCACCUUUGUGUACUGGGCUAGAAUUUUCUAGGCAGAUAGCGUGCUUGUUUCCUGAUGCUGGGACAGAGGAUCGGAAAACACUGCAUGCUGUGAAAUGUUUUGUAGAGCAGGGCAAUGCUAAUGAAAAUAUUAUUGCAUUUUAAUAAUAGCUCUGGAAUAUUUUCCUUCAUCAUAUGUGUAAUAACUUGUUAGGACUGGUUGUCUAGAGUGAACUAGACUUCCGAGUUUUAUAUUGCUACCAUCUGUGUGACGCCUCCGCCGUGACUUUCACAUUCCUUGAGCAUCACUGGGUAGCUCUCCUCCGUGCCUUUCUAAUGGACCGAGAUGCCCCGUCCCAAGUGGAACUGCAAGACGACAGACAGAUCUCCUCAGGCAGCACCUGGGUCUUCUGAUUACAUCUCCUUUCUUCAAUGAGACCCUCUUCUUCUGGAAGCUGGUUUCACAUGGUGGCUUAGAUUUUUCCAUCUUUGUAUCUAGCACCAUUUGAAAUCAGUGUUUUAGGAGUAAGAAUUGCAGCGCACCAAAGGGCCACCUGCAGAGGGGCUCUCACCGGUGGGACAGACCCCCUCCUUCUGCCGCCUGAGCCGGUCCAAGAGAGGAAGAACUUGAAAAGGAAAGUGCACCCUAGCGUUAUGUAGGUUGUGGAGGGGCAGCAUUGUGGGGAGGGUGUUGUGUUUCAAAGAAACUCCGCUUUGGAGGUGGUGCAGGGCUGCAGCCAGCACCUGUGAGCACCACCCAGCUCUCACCUGCCCGGAGAGCCUUUGAACGUGGAGAUCAGGGAUGCCGGCUCCAGUGCUUGAUUGUAACAGGGGAGGGUGAGGCUGUGUACCGAGGACGGUUCCAUCCUUCUCGGCAUUGCACCUGCUCCUAGAGGCCCUGGAACAUUCAGCUGCCCUUUCAGUGCAGCUGGAAUCAGACUUAACCACCUGCACGGUCAAGUGCAGGACCCCCAGGAACGCCACUGGACCAUCUCUUACACAGGCUGACCGAUUUCUCCUGGUGUUCAGAGUCUGUUUUUGUCUAGCACCAUUUGAAAUCGGUUAUGAUGUAGGGGGAAAAGCAGCAGCCUCGAAGCCUCACGCCAAGUCUGGGGAGCAGCGGCCUGUGGUUUCCCGGAAGACGGAUGGGCGGAGCGUAGGGGAAGGACAAUCACACUUGUUUCACUAACUGCUUCUCUAACCGCAUUUAUGAUACCUUAUGCAGAGGUAAGAGAGAAUUUAACGCAUUUGAAAAAACAAAUCAAAUCGCUGUAAUGUAUCUGAUGUCCUCAGUUGCAGUUUGCUAAAAUGUGGCGAUGCUGUAUGUCUGUAAAUGGUUGGUGUUGAAUUCUCUGUUAAGAGUUUGUUCGUGCGUCCUGACCUGAAUAAAUAUUUUACUCUCUUCAAUUCA